Cyprinus carpio carpio is the source of this 2524-nucleotide long non-coding RNA. NCBI's taxonomy places the organism in Eukaryota, Metazoa, Chordata, Actinopteri, Cypriniformes, Cyprinidae. The record is from Ensembl.
UUGAAAAUAGCUGUGCUGCUUAAUGUUACAAAAAUUUUGUAACAUUAUAUCAGCUGAAUAAAAUAAUUAAUUUUCUUAAAAAAAAAAAAAAAAAAAUCUUACUGACCCCAAACAUUUGAACUGUAGUGUGGGUAUCUCUCUAUUUAAAUAAUAACCAAAAAUAAUUAUUUAUUGAUACAAACAUUUAAUCAAUAAACCUUCAAAAUAAUCAAUAAACAAUUUUGCAGAGCUUUCUGUGGAGUUUUGCAGAUGCAGAUUCAAUGUGGGCCUGCUUAAAGAUCACUUUAUGGCUGUGUAAGUGCAUUAGCUCUAGAUUACUUUUGAUUUUUUGUUAUUUCGUCUAUAGCAUGCCACUUCUGCCCAAUCUUUGGAUGUGUCAGGUAGUUUUAGUGAUAUGCCACUCGUUUCUCACAAGUUUUGCAAUAUUAACAGAAUGGAAAGUAGGAAAAAAGCAAAACAAGGUUUUUUGGGACGCCUCAGCCAAGCUAGUCAACAUGUCAUUUUCAAUGGCCAUUGUUAACAUGAGAGUUUAUGAGGCUUGUAGCGUCAGUGUGCUGGAACGUUGUGGUGUGCGUACAGAGGGCAAUAAAUGCUUCUAGUUUGGCCGGGGCGGCUCUCAAUCCACUGUUCUCAGGUCAGUGUGUGCCAGCACUGCUCCCCGGCUCGCUGGGCCUCCGGAUGGCUUCACCGUCAGCAGCAUUUCAUGGAGACAGUGUCCAAGGAAAACACAGCACAAGGCUUAUAGUCACUAGUAAAUGUCUUUUGGAAAGACGUCUCAUAUUCUAGGCUGUCUGUGCGACUUGAUCCUAUUGUAAACAAUGCCUUUCCCACAUGCAUUACGGGAGCUUGGGUUAGGAUCGGGGGAAAUAAUAGCACGAUGGAGCAACCUCUGCAAGGGGAAACCAUUCAAGAUGAUCCCCAAAGACUUCCGAGGGCCGUCGGCAUGAAAUUAAACAUCUCCAAUGCAUGGUUGGUGACUUUAAUGCUCCAAGCAUAUUCAGAUCAUUGAAGUCUAUUGGAGGGCUACAGGAAAGCAUGGAGGAAAAGGGAUUUUGGGAUUCGAGAGGGCCAAAUUAUCAGCUCAGGGAUGGAUAGAUAGAGUUAAUUAAGGAUAAAUAACCAAUAUACUGUCCUCAUCCAUGUCACAUGCAACCUCUAGUGAGAAACGUUGGGUUUGUCAUGUCAGUUUUAAUAUAUACUAAGAUGAAAGAUUUUUAUGGCACUCUAUUUUCUUAUAAAACUGUAUUGGUUAACUCGUUUCCACUUGUAGCAACGUGUUGAGAAAGCUACUAUCACUGCCAUUCACGUGUUCCACUGUUCUGUUCAAGUAUAUAGGCUGCAACUAUUUCCUUGCUCGCAAUGCAUGCUUCUGGAAACAAAAGCUCUCGUUUUUUUUCUUUCUCCUCUCUGGUGCAUCAGAUAUAAUGUAUGAUUCAUUCCCGUGCCUCUCACUAUAAGACAUAGUGCCAAAAAACAGAAUACCGGUCACCAAAUUGGAAGUGGAGACGCCUCAGGCAACUGCUUCUGAGAGGUUAUGGAUCUUCUCAGGGAGCACAAAGCACAUAUCUAGUCCAGGACUCAUCCAAAAUGGCAGGGAUCUGGUCUCAAAGCAACUUUAGGCCCUCUCUGGUGUUAUUAACAUGUGUCCUUGAGAUUUGACGUUUGCAAUAUUGAGGGGGGAAGUGUGCUCCAAUUUAGCUUUGACUUGGCGGUUCCUCCCAAUCCUGAAUCUGUCUGUCUAGCACAGGGCUUUGUAUUGCAGGGUUGAUCGGUGCUCUUGAUGUUGUCAUUUCUGAGAGAGGCUGGGAGAACUGAUCGUCUGGCCAUGCAUUGUUUUUGAUGAAAACGAGAUCUUUCAGGGUUUGAUUUGUACAGGUUGCACAAGGGUUUAUUGGUUUUUCAACCAUGUUUGUUCUUAAAAGAGGCCGAGAAAUGGCAUGCCCAAAGUAUGAUAUUUAUUGGCAAGUAUGUAAAUAAAAUAUCUAUUAAAAAUCCAUCUGCUUGCGUUCAACAGACGUAUGGACUGACGUGAUGCUUCUUAUUCACUCAACCAUAUGUGGUUAAACAGAAAUAGACAUUCUACCAUAACAAAACAGACCAAAUCGCAUGUAUAUAGAGCGUACUGCAAUGCAACAUAACUAUAUUAAAAAAGAAAAGCUCUGGUAUUGAUGUUUUAAAAAGCAAUGAAAGGUUUCUACUUCUGCUGUUUAGGUUGUAUGUUGUGAAGUGUGUGCAUCGUAACACUGCUUCCCCAGCAUAUGUCCUUGGCUUAACUGAGUUUAUGUGUGGUCCACCCAAAGUGUAACAGAGUAUGGUGUAUAAAAAAAAAAUCUGUUUAGUAAUAUUCUGUGGAAAAAAAAAGAUUGUAAUGUUUUCUAUAAAAAAAAAAUCAUUCAUAUAAAUAUUUGUUUUUACUUUUUUAAUAAAGUUGCACCUUAUGACUGGUUGUGCGUUGAUUAUUCUGCUGCAGUAUAUCAUGAAUGCUUAUGAUUAUUGAAGUAUUAGAUAUUUAAAAGGCUUUUGU